GCCUUGAGCCAGACAGUAUGGCUUCAGCUGCCUCGGCACUGCACCUGCUGUCCCCACGGCCCCGGCCAGGGCCUGAGCUCGGCCCCCAGCUUGGCCUUGAUGGAGGUCCUGGGGAUGGAGAUCGGCAUAGUACCCCCUCCCUCCUGGAGGCAGCCUUGACCCAGGAGGCCUCAACUCCUGAUAGUCAGGUUUGGCCCACAGCACCUGACAUUACUCGUGAGACCUGCAGCACCCUGGCAGAAAGCCCCAGGAAUGGCCUUCAGGAAAAGCACAAGAGCCUAGCCUUCCACCGACCACCAUAUCACCUGCUGCAGCAACGUGACAGCCAGGAUGCCAGUGCUGAGCAAAGUGACCAUGAUGAUGAGGUGGCCAGCCUUGCCUCUGCUUCAGGAGGCUUUGGCACCAAAGUUCCUGCUCCACGGCUGCCUGCCAAGGACUGGAAGACCAAGGGAUCCCCUCGAACCUCACCCAAGCUCAGGAGGAAAAGCAAGAAGGAUGAUGGGUAGGGAGGAAUCCUAGGGAGGGAGAGGGUGGUCUCCAGGCUGCCUGACGUAGCCUGAGGUGCUUCUCGCCUAUGGCAGGGAUGCAGCCAUGGGAUCCCGGCUCACAGAGCACCAGGUGGCAGAGCCCCCUGAGGACUGGCCAGCACUAAUUUGGCAACAGCAGAGAGAGCUGGCAGAGCUGCGGCACAGCCAAGAAGAGCUGCUGCAGCGUCUGUGUACCCAACUCGAAGGCCUGCAGAGCACA
Molecule: small RNA, 747 nt
Filed under: Pongo abelii (Sumatran orangutan)
Lineage: Eukaryota; Metazoa; Chordata; Mammalia; Primates; Hominidae
Description: retained intron
Source: RNAcentral